RNAcentral lists this ribosomal RNA (60 nucleotides) under Ficus hesperidiiformis. Its description in RNAcentral is "partial 28S ribosomal RNA". RNAcentral also lists the same sequence under 17 other names. The record is from RNAcentral. Lineage: Eukaryota; Viridiplantae; Streptophyta; Magnoliopsida; Rosales; Moraceae.
CAACGCGACCCCAGGUCAGGCGGGGCUACCCGCUGAGUUUAAGCAUAUCAAUAAGCGGAG